UGGUGAUACCCCAUUUCAUUCCUGGUCGUGGCAUUUUGUUUUCUCUUUCCCUGUAUACCCCUUUCAGGAACGAAGGAUUCAUUUUUUCCAGUCUCUGGGAAUGACAUCUGCAGGUGGAUCCUCCCCCAGAAUUGACCUUGGACUGAUGGAACUGUCUUGCCUAGUCUGCACCCAAUGGGGAGGCUGAUAUGCGACUACAAAGUGGACAAGCUGGACCACUCC
RNAcentral lists this long non-coding RNA (222 nucleotides) under Mustela putorius furo (domestic ferret). RNAcentral describes it as "lncRNA (ENSMPUG00000028621.1)". Lineage: Eukaryota; Metazoa; Chordata; Mammalia; Carnivora; Mustelidae. The record is from RNAcentral.